RNA transcript from Populus euphratica (Euphrates poplar), 4882 nucleotides. It is a transcript of the gene named ABC transporter C family member 10-like, with no coding region annotated. The transcript has 13 exons. NCBI's taxonomy places the organism in Eukaryota, Viridiplantae, Streptophyta, Magnoliopsida, Malpighiales, Salicaceae. The record is from RefSeq and is a predicted model, not a curated record.
GUUUCUGGAUUUUAAACAAUUCUUUGGCCAACACAGAGAGGGAGGGUGCAUGGUCAUUUUUGUCGGCUUGAAUUUUGGGUUUGGUGCAAUUUUCAGAAGCUGAGAAGUAAAAAAGAAAGGAAAGAUAAUGGAGGACCUUUGGAUGGUGUUUUGUGGGGAAUCUGGCAAUCUGGAUAUUGGUGGAAAGUUAUCUAGUUCUGGUCUGGUGUUUCAGCCAACUUCAUGUGUCAAUCAUGCGUUGAUUAUUUGUUUCAAUGUUUUGCUUCUAGCCAUGCUCUUGCUCACUUGCAUACAAAAAUCUUCUUCACCAUCCAAAAAAGAUAAUAUCCAACCUCGAUUUCGGGGCUAUUCAAGGCUGCGGAUAGUUUCUGCUAUAUUCAAUGGUUGUAUUGGAUUUGUGUAUUUGUGCUUGGGCACAUGGAUUUUAGAAGAGCAGUUGAGGAAAAACCAGACCGCCUUACCUUUGAAAAGCUGGUUAGUGGUGUUGUUUCAGGGGUUUACAUGGCUUUUAGUGGGUUUAACCAUAAGCCUUCGAGGGAAGCAUCUUCAAAGAACUCCCUUGCGGCUGUUGUCCAUACUUGCUUUCUUGUUUGCUGGACUUGUCUGUGCUUUCUCCAUAUACAGUGUCAUUUUAGGAAAAGCAAUAUUGGUUAAGAUAGCUUUGGAUGUCCUGUCCUUUCCAGGAUCAAUAUUGUUAUUGGUAUGUGUUUACAAGGUAUAUAAACAUGAAGGGAGUUGUGAAAGUGACCUCUACGCACCAAUAAAUGGCGAGGCCAACGGUGCAAGUAGAACAGAUUCUGUUGUCAGAGUUACUCUAUUUGCUGAAGCCGGAUUCUUUAAUAAAAUGUCAUUUUGGUGGUUGAAUCCAAUGAUGAAAAUGGGCAAGGCGAAAACUCUGGAGGAUGAGGAUAUACCAAAGCUGCGAGUGGAAGACCGUGCAGAAAGCUGUUAUUUUGAGUUUCUGGAGCAACUGAACAAGCAUAAACAAGCUGAAUCAUCUCAACCAUCUCUGUUGUGGAUAAUUAUAUUUUGCCACUGGAAAGAAAUUCUAAUUUCCGGACUCUUUGCUUUGCUAAAGAUACUUACUUUGUCAGCUGGGCCUCUACUUCUUAAUGCCUUCAUUUUGGUUGCUGAAGGGAAAGCAGGUUUUAAGUAUGAAGGUUAUUUACUGGCCUUGACGCUCUUCUUUUUAAAGAACUUAGAGUCCUUAGCGCAAAGGCAAUGGUAUUUUAGGAGCAGGCUUAUUGGUUUGAAAGUAAAGUCCUUGCUCACGGCUGCAAUAUAUAAGAAGCAGCUGAGGUUAUCCAAUCUUGGUAGGUUGACGCACUCGAGUGGUGAAGUAAUGAACUAUGUUACUGUAGAUGCCUACAGGAUAGGUGAGUUUCCCUUCUGGUUUCAUCAGACAUGGACAACAAGCUUGCAGCUCUGCAUCUCUCUUGUAAUUCUUUACCGAGCAAUGGGACUCGCAACUUUUGCUGCCUUAGUGGUUAUAAUAAUCACCGUGCUGUGCAACGCUCCACUAGCAAAGUUACAACAUAAAUUUCAGUCUAAGCUUAUGGUGGCGCAAGAUGAGAGAUUGAAAGCUUGCAACGAGGCUCUGGUUAACAUGAAGGUAUUGAAAUUAUAUGCUUGGGAAACCCAUUUUAAGAAUGCCAUAGAAAAUUUGAGAGAGGUGGAGUAUAAAUGGUUGUCAGCAGUGCAGAUGCGCAAAGCCUAUAAUACUUUUCUCUUCUGGUCUUCUCCUGUUUUGGUUUCUGCUGUUACCUUUGGGGCAUGCUAUUUCAUGAAAAUUCCUCUGCAUGCUAAUAAUGUUUUCACCUUUGUGGCAACUUUGCGUCUCGUUCAAGACCCAAUUAGAUCAAUCCCUGAUGUUAUUGGAGUUGUCAUUCAAGCAAAGGUAGCUUUUGCUCGAAUUGUAAAGUUUCUCGAAGCGCCAGAGUUGCAGAGUAGGAAUGUUCUGCAAAGGCGCAAUACGGGAAACCAUUCUGUUUUAAUCAAGUCAGCUGAUUUUUCAUGGGAAGAGAAUUCGUCAAAGCCCACAUUGAGAAAUGUGAGUUUAAAGAUCAUGCCUGGUGAAAAGGUGGCUGUCUGUGGAGAAGUUGGAUCUGGCAAGUCAACCCUUUUAGCAGCAAUCCUCGGAGAAGUUCCUCAUACAAAGGGAACCAUUCAGGUUUAUGGGAGGAUAGCCUAUGUUUCGCAAACAGCUUGGAUCCAGACGGGAACGAUACAAGAGAGCAUUUUAUUCGGGUCUGAAAUGGAUGGACAACGAUACCAAGACACACUUGAGCGAUGCUCACUGGUAAAGGACCUUGAGUUGCUUCCUUAUGGCGAUCUUACUGACAUAGGUGAAAGAGGAGUCAAUUUAAGUGGUGGUCAAAAGCAGCGAAUUCAACUAGCCCGUGCUCUCUAUCAGAACGCAGAUAUAUAUCUGUUGGAUGAUCCAUUCAGCGCUGUGGAUGCAGAGACUGCUACGAGCUUAUUUAAUGAAUAUAUCACGGGAGCACUUUCGGGGAAAACAGUGUUGCUUGUGACACAUCAAGUAGAUUUCUUGCCAGCAUUUGACUCUGUUAUGUUGAUGUCAGAUGGAGAAAUCCUACAAGCAGCUCCUUAUCAUAAGUUGUUGUCCUCAAGCCAAGAAUUUCUGGACCUUGUCAAUGCACACAAAGAAACAGCUGGUUCUGAAAGGCUUCCAGAAGCUAAUGCUCUGCAAAGACAAGGAUCAUCUGCCCGGGAGAUCAAGAAGAGUUAUGAAGAGAAGCAGCUUAAAACAUCUCAAGGAGAUCAACUGAUUAAGCAGGAAGAAAAAGAAAUAGGAGACACCGGGUUUAAGCCUUAUAUUGAGUAUCUGAAUCAAAAUAAAGGAUACUUGUACUUUUCUCUUGCGUCUUUUGGUCACCUGCUAUUUGUGACUGGUCAGAUAUCGCAAAACUCUUGGAUGGCAGCUAAUGUUGACGAUCCUCAUGUUAGCACAUUGCGUUUAAUUGUGAUCUAUCUCAGUAUAGGAGUUAUCUCAAUGCUUUUCUUGCUAUGUAGAUCGAUCUUUACAGUUGUUUUGGGUCUUCAAUCAUCAAAAUCGUUAUUUUCCCAGUUACUACUUUCUCUUUUUCGUGCACCUAUGUCUUUCUACGACUCCACACCUCUUGGAAGAAUACUGAGUCGGGUCGCAUCAGACCUGAGCAUUGUCGAUCUUGAUGUUCCUUUCAGUUUGAUUUUUGCUGUUGGUGCAACAACAAAUGCUUACAGUAAUCUGGGAGUACUAGCUGUUGUUACCUGGCAAGUCUUAUUUGUCUCCAUACCAAUGGUUUAUCUGGCUAUUCGUUUACAGAGAUAUUACUUUGCCUCUGCAAAAGAGUUGAUGCGGAUCAAUGGCACAACCAAGUCUUUAGUGGCAAAUCAUUUAGCUGAAUCUGUAGCUGGAGCCUUGACAAUAAGGGCCUUUGAGGGGGAAGAACGUUUCUUCGCAAAAAACCUUCAACUCAUUGACAUAAAUGCUAGUCCUUUCUUCCACAGUUUUGCUGCAAAUGAGUGGUUGAUUCAACGACUCGAAACAUUCUGUGCAGCUAUUCUUGCCUCUGCAGCACUCUGCGUGGUUUUGCUCCCCCCUGGAACUUUUAGCUCUGGAUUUAUUGGAAUGGCACUUUCGUAUGGACUUUCAUUAAAUAUGUCCUUCGUGAUGUCAAUUCAAAACCAGUGCAUGGUAGCAAAUUACAUCAUUUCUGUUGAAAGGCUGAAUCAAUACAUGCAUAUACCAAGUGAAGCCCCAGAGGUGGUAGAAGAUAACCGUCCUCCAUCUGAUUGGCCAGCAGUGGGUAAAGUGGAUAUUUGUGAUCUGCAGAUUAGAUAUAGGCCUGGCACACCACUAGUUCUUAAAGGAAUCAGUUGCACAUUUGAAGGAGGUCACAAGAUUGGUAUUGUUGGUCGAACCGGCAGUGGGAAGACUACUCUUAUUGGUGCUCUAUUCCGACUGGUGGAACCAACUGGAGGAAAGAUCAUUGUAGAUGGAAUAGACAUCUCUAAGAUUGGACUUCAUGAUCUGAGGUCACGAUUCGGAAUAAUACCUCAAGAUCCUACUCUCUUUAAUGGGACAGUGAGGUACAACUUGGAUCCCUUAUCUAAGCAUACUGACAAGGAGAUAUGGGAGGUUCUUGGAAAGUGUCAGCUUCAAGAGGCUGUGCAGGAGAAACUGCAGGGUCUAGAUUCUCUAGUUGUGGAAGACGGAUCAAAUUGGAGCAUGGGGCAGAGACAAUUAUUUUGCUUGGGCCGUGCCCUUUUAAGGAGAAGCAGGGUAUUGGUGCUUGAUGAAGCAACUGCAUCAAUUGAUAACGCUACUGACUUGAUUUUGCAAAAGACUAUCCGGACUGAAUUUUCAGGUUGCACUGUGAUCACAGUAGCUCACAGGAUACCGACGGUGAUGGAUUGCUCAAUGGUGCUUGCCAUUAGUGAUGGAAAACUAGUCGAGUACGACGAGCCAAGGAACUUAAUGAAGACGGAAGGUUCACUAUUUGGACAGCUUGUGAAGGAGUACUGGUCUCAUUUACACGCAGCAGAAUCACAUUGAAGCUGACGAUCAUUUCUCAUGCAUCCCAUUCCACAAUCCACCCUGGCUUGGCAGCAAAGAUAAAGGGUUCCAGGGCCAGGUAGGAAGAAGGAUGUAUAGUGUUGCAACAAUGAAUACUGUGGGGACGAGGAGGAAGAUUGGAAAAGGGAACAGAAUUUCCUAUCCUUGGUUUUGUAACUGUAUUCAGACAUCAAGCUCGUUAGUUUCUGCAGGGAAAUUGAAUGUCUGGUGUCAAGAGCUUGGCUAUUCUGAUUUACAGGGUGCAGACUUGCCCGUUUUAUGAGUUGUUUCCUCUGCAGUCAUCUUAUUUAUACUUACUCUUAA